Daphnia magna is the source of this 1576-nucleotide long non-coding RNA. RefSeq lists it as uncharacterized. NCBI's taxonomy places the organism in Eukaryota, Metazoa, Arthropoda, Branchiopoda, Diplostraca, Daphniidae. The transcript has 4 exons. The record is from RefSeq and is a predicted model, not a curated record.
UUGUGCCGACAGGUCCUCGUAACCGUGUCAUCCCAUCAAGAUAAGGUGGCGUAAAUUCUUAUGAGUGCCCACUUUCUCGCUGGCUGUGGCGCAGGAAGAGCCGCCAUCGGCCCGUCUCCUAUCAGCCGGACCGCCUUCAACGUGUCAUCACCAAACGAAAAAGAAGUGACGAUCACUCGGCGAGAAAUCCGACGAAUUCGGCACCGUAUUUCAACAUCAAAAAUUACUUUGAAGAAAAAGAAAGAAAAUGGUGGAAUAAAUCAAACAAAAGCUUGCCAGUGUAUUAGGCAAAUGAUAAUUCAAAGAAAAAAACAAAAAUAACCAGUUCUUUUUAUGUUUGAAAAUUGGCUUUUUUUUAAAGCCAAAUCGUUCAGAGCUUGAGCUUUAUUUUGGCUGACUUUCUACGCGUUUUGUCUUUCUUAUUAUUCAACUGGCCGUUUGUGAAGGAAGAGGUGGGGGGACACAGUCAAUAGGGAGAUGUUCUCGUUUGGCUUUCGGUGCAAGUGAAAGUGGACGCGGCUGGGUUGUCGCAAUCCCGCCCGCCUCAGCAAGUCGCCACGUUUGUUACAUUGUACGUCACGUUCAUUUUCCCUCCCUAUUUGCCCAACAUCUCUUUCCGCACGGCGCACGCAUUUCCCUCAUCUCUCUUCCGAAAACGCAGAUAAAAAAAAAAAAUAAGGUUUUCCCAUUUUAAAAAAAAAUUAGCUCUCUUCUUUCUACCAAUAAGGAGGAAACAAUGAUGUCUAUCAUUUCUUAUUGGAUGCGGUACAGUUAAACGGCGCUGGCGCGACCCUGCAAAAGAAGUCGGUCAAAGUCAGCGUUAGCCUCUCGGUCAAAGGUUUCUCAUUGGGAAAUCAAGGUAAGCGACCAAAAUUGGCAGUCCGUUUGUUUGUUCGUUGUGUGUGUGUGUGUGUGUAAAGUGUACACGCGGGCUCCUUUCUCUUUUUAUUUUGCGCUUAACGCAGGUGGCCUGAAAGCGGCUGCGUUGCUGGGGCUCUUCAGGACGCGGCUAUUCAGGUUGGGAUCCGCAAUCUCCGGGGCUAAUGACGCUCUUCAGCCGAAUGUUUCGCUGGAAUAACCGAAGGUCAAAGAACGAGACACACCUGUACGAAAAUGAAAAAACCCGACUGUUUUACUGUGACAUUGACCCGGCGGGAGUAUUUCCAAAUCAAGGAACAGCCAUCAACAUCCAUCUGCACAGAAUGGAGCGGUUUGAUACUGAAAUAAAGGAGCGGCCGCUUAGUGUAUAAUCAUCACGGUGUCCUGUCUGAUUUCUUGCCCUUUCCGCUUGUUUCCUCAAUUCGCCAUUUUUUCUUUUGUUUUUUUUUAUUUUCUUCUCUUUGGUCAGAACAAUUUAAUGGACCAUCGAAAUGUAUCACCUAUAGUCCUUGACAGCGGUAUAGAGAGAGAGAGUCACGGCCGUCUGGCUGCUCCCGACUAUGCAUCGCUGCACAACAACCCACGAAAUUAUUAUUUGUUUGUUUUUUUUCUAAUGAAAGGGGAGCGAUUUUUUUACUCCUUUCAAUUUGAAAAAAAGAACGAAAAUAAAUUUGCAUAUUGUGGCCAAACGUAAAAA